UUUAAAGUAAAUGGUCAGUGAUUGAAACCUUACAUAAAUGAAAUUAGCGAUGGAGAAUUAAUUAAAUCUGUUGAUCUAAUGGAUCCAAUACCGUCAUGAUACUCAGUUCAGUCUGGCUGAAGACUUUAAACUUAGCACUCCUGGGAGGCAACCCAAUUUAUAUAUUUUUUUAAUUAUCUAGCCUCUUUUCUUUUCAUAGAAAAAUCCAAGAAAGGCAAUCAGCCAAGUUGGGGGGAGCAUCUCAUCCAAAGCCCAGAUGGAGUCAUGAACCAAUCACGCCCAC
RNAcentral lists this long non-coding RNA (283 nucleotides) under Elaeis guineensis (African oil palm). Its description in RNAcentral is "long non-coding RNA (EGUI_LNC024437)". Lineage: Eukaryota; Viridiplantae; Streptophyta; Magnoliopsida; Arecales; Arecaceae. The record is from RNAcentral.